Molecule: long non-coding RNA, 2285 nt
Organism: Astatotilapia calliptera (eastern happy)
Lineage: Eukaryota; Metazoa; Chordata; Actinopteri; Cichliformes; Cichlidae
Source: Ensembl
GACUUUCUCUACAGUGUGGCUCUGGAAGCCCACACUCAGUGUGUCAUUGACCCAGUCAUACGGUGCAUCUGCAGUUUACAGCCGGCAGAGGAAGCUGGUCUGGAUCAAUUCAAUUCCCGAGAAGCCACAAGUUGUGAUACAUGACGAAAAUGAACAAAUGCGAAAGCGUUCGCUGGUGCACACGGGUGGAACCGUGUCAGUCAAAUGCAGCAGCUUGUUGAGCCCGUGGAGCCCAGACGGAGGGAAAUGAAGCAGCUGCAAUAAUGCUGUGGUGAAAAUCAGCACAGCAUUAUCACCUGACUGGGAUAAGGCGUCCCUCAACUACGGAUAGCCAUGCACUGUCGUGCCGUGCCGGACUAUCUGCACUGACACUGUACAGACAUGGAAUGUGUCUGAUGACCGAGCUGCUGCAUUCCUCUCCGACAACACAGCAGCUCACGGCACUGUUACCGACCCACAGAAUGAAAGAGUUCAUGUCACCCAGCUGCUCCGACUGCACCACCACAGACACACAAUCUCACACUCACACACUCCGACGCUUCUGUGAACUUGCCUGGAUUUCGGAGUUCCUGUUGCAGCUCGGUGGUAGUUUGAAGACACCCGACGUCCGCAUGACUCCGAAUAAGGUUAAGGGCUGAAUCGAGCCCAGCCCUAAACCCGUUCCCACAUAUCCGCAGCAGGGACACCGCGCUGACUCCGUCAACUCCGCCGGACACAAGCCGAGCAGAGCCCAGCCCAGCCGCCUCCAUGCACCAGCACCGCGGAGUGAGCAGGAAGCAGCCCUGCUGCGCGCGCGCACGCAUGCACGCGGAUUUGAAAAUAAAGGUGCGCACGGGUGCUUCGUGUGACAGCAGCAGCGUCCCUCAACAAGUAGCGGAGGUGUGAGUCACAGGGAGCUGCACUAACACUCUCCUCUCUGUGCUGUCCUGGACUCGUGGGCGCGCUCACAGAGGUGCUGGAUACUUCAAAGGUUACCAUCCAAAAAUGAGAUGUUACAGAUUAAACACCUCAGCACCGAGUUAAGAGCUUCACCAGGUGAUGGAUUCGAUUUUUGGAUCAAAUGAUCUACAGAUGAAAGCAUAGUCCUGGGACUCUGUAACGCUUUGAUAAACUUUUGUAGUCCGAGUCCACAUUAGCAGAACAUCAGAAUGUGGACUAGCUUAAGACCAUCAGCUCCACUGCUUGGUAAUCCUGCAUUUAUGUGACAGCACAGUGAAGGGUUAUUAGUUAAUGCAAGAGGACAGAUGGCUCUGAGUAUACUUAAGGACUAUCAAAGCACGUUUGUGUUUCAUGUCUAUGCACAUAAUAAACUUAUUGCCGUUAAUUACAUUUAAAAUACAUAAUGAUCCCUGACUGCCGAGGGUCAUCAUAACUCGUGGGUCGGACCUCACAGGGGAAUUUCCUUCGGCUGGCAGCCACAGCUCAUUAGCUUCGUCUUUGUUCUCGGCAGGUAGUGUCAGUCAGCUACACGGAGUUUCAGCAUGUGCCAAUCUUCCACGUCCUGGUGUCUUAUUACGCUGUUCUUCUCUUCACACGUGAUCUGUUAUUGUUCAACACAUCUCAGUCUCAACAGAGUUGAUAUUUUUAGGUGUAGUACUUUUGAGGCCUUCCACAUUAUUCUUCUUCUCAAACUAUUUGUCUGCGAGAUUUUUGCAGACAAAUCAGGUAAAGAUCGUCUUAAACGACAAGCACAGCCAUUACUCACCUAAUUAUCUGUUUAAAAAACUUGGACUCUUUUUUGACCAACAUCUGAAUUUUGAAACUCAAGUUCAACCAGUCUUGUUUCCAUCACUUCAGAAAUAUCAAAGCUUUGCAGUCACUGUGUGCAGCGUUCACACGUUAAUUUUCUCCCGCCUUUCUUUUGUAACUCGCCUUGACGUGGACCUCUCAGUCCUCUGUAGCUCGUCUCCAGCUAGUGCAGAGCGCAGCACCAAGGACACAUAUCACACCUGUUCUUGCAUCCCUUCACUGGCUUCCGGCAAAACCCAGAAUCCACCUAAAAAUCCUGUUAUUAACAUACGAGGCUGUACAUGGACAGACUUGUGUUUAUACAGCAAAGCUCCGAAGAUCUUAUCACCGCUACUCUGAUUUUAAAGCCAGAGGUGAUCGUGCUUUUGAGGUUGUGUCACCCAAACUGUCCAACAGUUUGGCUUUCUGUUUAUUGUUUCAAACAACUGCUGAAAGCUAACUUUCAUAUGUUAGCCUUAAUCUUUGAAAUGAACGUUGAUUAUGUGUCUGGAUGUCUACUUAAAAAAUAUCUAUACAAAUAAAGUUAUUAUUAUUAA